GGGCUAGGGGGUCUGGUUUUAUAGUCCCCUCAAGUGAACCUGGGCCGUCGGAUCAAACCGACAUUGAUUGAACGGUUAUUCUUGAUCCUUUAGGUCGGUGGAGCAUAAUCCGCGAGAUUGAGCGUGAUUGGCCGAAAAAGGUGAGCGGGCGCCCUAAGGACAUGGGCGAGCGCCCUGUCCCUGACUCCGUUCGGUCUCCGCUUCCUUCCCGUGGCUUCUGGAGUCUUCUAGAUGUAAGAUAAUUGCGCGGCACGUUGAUAUCUCUAUGUAAUCCCGACAUGUGGGCCUUUCUUCCUUAUUUCCUGAUAACCCCCUGCAGAAAUAGACAAACACCAAAACUCGUGGAAUUCUGUCAGAUAAAUCCCUAAGUCUGG
RNAcentral lists this long non-coding RNA (374 nucleotides) under Sorghum bicolor (sorghum). RNAcentral's name for it is "long non-coding RNA (SBIC_LNC002855)". The record is from RNAcentral. Lineage: Eukaryota; Viridiplantae; Streptophyta; Magnoliopsida; Poales; Poaceae.